Molecule: ribosomal RNA, 1147 nt
Filed under: uncultured organism
Description: bacterial SSU rRNA
Rfam family: Bacterial small subunit ribosomal RNA
Source: RNAcentral
GGAAAGUGCCUUCGGGUCAGCAACAGUGAGGAGCCCGCGUCCGAUUAGCUGGAUUGGUGAGGUAAUGGCUCACCUAAGGCGACUAUCGGUAUCCGGUCUGAGAGGACGUACGGUCACACUGGGACUGCGACACGGGCCAUACUCCUACGGGAGGCAGCAGUGGGGAAUUUUGGGCACAUGGGGGCAACCCUGACCCAGCAACGCCUGCGUGGAGGAAGAAGAGUUUGCGAAUCGCACACUCCUGUCCCACGAGAAGAAGCUCGUGACGGUAUCGUGCGAGGAAGCCCCGGCUAACUCCGUGCCAGCAGCCGCGGUAAUACGGGGGGGGCAAGCGUUGUUCGGAAUUACUGGGCGUAAAGGGCGCGCAGGCGGUUUCGGAAGUCAAUGGUGAAAGCCCCGAGCUCAACUCGGGAAUUGCCUUUGAAACCACGGAACUGGAGUGCUGGAGAGGAAAGCGGAAUUUCCAGUGUAGCGGUGAAAUGCGUAGAUAUUGGAAGGAACAUCUGAGGCGAAGGCGGCUUUCUGGACAGACACUGACGCUGAGUGACGCGAAAUGCCAGGGUGAGCGAACGGGAUUAGAUACCCCGGUAGUCCUGGCUGUCAACUACUGAACACUUUGGUCUGGGGGGUAUCCAGUCCUUCCGUGUCGAAGAUAACUCGACUAAGUCUUCCGCCUGGGGAGUACGUCCGCAAGGCUGAUACUCAAAGGAAUUGACGGGGACCCGCACAAGCGAUGGAGCAUGUGGUUUAAUUCGACGCGACGCGAAGAACCUUACCGGGCUUUGAACUGUACCGGCGACAUCCAGAGAUGGAUGGUUUCCUUCGGGUACUGGUAUAGAGGUGCUGCAUGGCAGUCGUCAGCUCGUGUCGUGAGAUGUUGGGUUAAGUCCCGCAACGAGCGCAACCUUUGUCUGUAGUUGCCAUCAGGUUAAGCUGGGCACUCUACCGGAGACUGUCAGUCGAUAAGCCGGCGGAAGUUCGGGAUGACGUCAUAGUCCUCAUGGCCUUUAUGUCCCGGGCUACACACGUGAUACAAUGGAUGGAACAGAGGGCAGCAAGCCUGCGAAGGCAAGCGAAUCCCUAGAAUCCAUUCUCAGUUCAGAUUGCAGUCUGCAACUCGACUGCAUGAAGUUGGAAUCGCUAGUAA